This is a long non-coding RNA of Mus musculus (house mouse), 356 nucleotides long. RefSeq annotates it as predicted gene, 41813. NCBI's taxonomy places the organism in Eukaryota, Metazoa, Chordata, Mammalia, Rodentia, Muridae. The record is from RefSeq and is a predicted model, not a curated record. The transcript has 3 exons.
GUCCUGAUCUCCUAAAUGCUGGGAUUACCAACGUUUGACUCUUUGGGUGGAAAGAUGAUAUCUAUUUUCUUACUUGGCAGCUAUGAAGAUCAUGUAUUGAUCUAUGAACACAGCUGUGACAUUGUAUAUUGUUCUCUUUGGAUGAGAUGGAGCCUAUAACCAGAUUAUAAUUAAACAAGAUAUGCUUACAUAUCUUGAUGGUUGCAGACUGGAUGGACAGAGCAGUACCAGUUCUCAUGGAGUUGACUGACAGUAAACAGGCAAUUGAAUCAAGAAUGCCAUGCGAUUAUGGCUAUGGAAAGAGGAAGAUCUGAGGGGGGCUGGUAGCACAGCCUGUUCCUGGAGCAAAAGCUAUA